Molecule: long non-coding RNA, 183 nt
Organism: Ctenopharyngodon idella (grass carp)
Lineage: Eukaryota; Metazoa; Chordata; Actinopteri; Cypriniformes; Xenocyprididae
Exons: 4
Source: RefSeq, a predicted model, not a curated record
ACUCCCUCAACAUCUACCAGUCCCACUACUGCAGUUUCUUUACAGUCGGUCACUUCUACAACAACUACCAGUUCUACUUCUACAGUUUAUUUACAGCCUGUCACUUCCACAACAUCUACCAGUUCCACUACUUCAGUUCCUUUACAGCCCGUCACUUCCACAACAUCUUCUAGUUCUACUUCU